UCGGUGGUACCGAUUGAAUGGUUUAGUGAGAUUUCUGGAGUGAAGAUUGGGUUGCAAAACUCUGUUUUUAUGAAACUACUCAAACUUGAUCAUUUAGAGGAACCAA
This 106-nucleotide ribosomal RNA is filed under the name uncultured eukaryote. RNAcentral describes it as "partial small subunit ribosomal RNA". The record is from RNAcentral.